CAGGACUCCAUCAUCCAUCUCGGCAUUCCACAAUAAAGGGACUGGAGUGGGUAACUUCAAUGUUUCAUUUGGGAGGUGUGACUCACAUUACUUUUUACCUGUCCUGCUUAAUACAAUUCAUGUAUUUCCAUUUUUUAGGUUUAUUGUUUGCUCUUGCUAGAAACUGAUGAUGUUAAUGCUCACUUUGCUAGACCUGAAUACCCAAAGACACUGCAUCGCUCCGGUGUUUUGUAGCAAUCCUGUAGACCCAAGCCCAGAAGCCCUGCAACACAAGUUCUGCUUGCUGCCAACAGGGGUAACGCAAGGAACUUCCAUGAAACCUCUCCAGAUUCUGAUUUAUCUACUGAGUGGGGGAUGGAUCAUUAGUGGAGAACAAGUGCCACCAGUGGUGACCAAAAGCUAUGGUCACCUAACCACCCCCUGAAGUGCCUGAUGAAGUACCCAGGAGUGCACAUCUGUUGUGUGAAAACCCUGAUGGUGGGCAGCACUUGGAGCUGUCAUCAGCAACUGGUCCUUUAGUACUUCUUCAAGCAAGUGCUGCAAACACAGGGAGGACAGGACACCCUUUCCCUGCCCCUGCUGUAAAAGUGAUGCACAUAAAUGGGUGAGCUCGAUUGUCCCAUAUUUCAGGCCAACAUCUUUCACAAGCAUUUCAGGAACAGCUUCAAAGGCAUGCAGCUCGAACUAAUGAGAAGCAUACAGGAGGUCAGAAUUACUGUCUAGUCUUGGAAAAAUCAGAAUAUAUAUUCUUUUUUCUUUUUCUGUUUUUAUCAGGCAUUUUUCUUUAAAAUAGAUAAGCAACUUCUUUUAUAAGAAACCUGGAAAUGAUUGCUUAAAAUUAGUAAGUUACAAUUCCAAUGAAUGGCCUAUCUGGAGCAGCUGGGUUUAAACACUCAAGGGAGAAGUUGGGGAAAGGAAAGGGAAAAAACAGGAGUACAUGAUUGUUUCUGUGCUGAUUCACAGAUCUGUUUGCCAUCAAAUCUCUCAUUGUGGUGGUGACAUGGACUUGUUACAGCUAAAAGCAAAGAAUGCAGAAAGUAAGAGCAUUUGACCCUAAAGCCCAAAAUACUCAAAGGUUUAGUGUUUUGAGUAAGGCAAUGAUCCAAAGCCUAUAAAAGCAGAAGAAAAAUAGCCUUUAGCUUCAGUGGGCAUUGCAUCAGGCCUUCAGAUGACUGGCAAUCAGCAGACUUCAUGCUGUGUGAUUCUUUAUGAAAGAAGCAUUAGUUCUCCAACACACAGUCAGCUGAGGAGGAAUAAGACAUGCUGUGUCUUUGCAACUUACCCUUCUGGUCAGCAGACAUCCCCAUCACUGAGGGUGAUGUAGAUAUUCUUGCACAACUGGUGAAAAGGCAUCCAGCUGUGCUUUGCAACUGCUGCUUCCCGCUAAGCCAUCACUAGAGAGAGAAUUAGCAGAGACUCCAUUGUCACAUACCCUAGAUCUGAACCCUGGGUUAUAUUUAAACGAGCAUAGGAAAGAGUCUGAAGACUCUAUGACCCUGGUGAAUUGGGGGAUUGCUUUUUCUAAACUGGAAGGCAAACGUCGGAAGAUCAGAUUACAAGUGACUACACGAAUGUUUUCUCUUCAUGGUGGGUCAGCUGGAGUUCAGGCUCUGUAAAUUCCAAGGAGGUGGUUCCAGAGCAGUUUAAGCACUUCAGCAAUUCCUAGCACCGGUGGUCUCAGCUUGGGAAGGAUUUCAUAACAUGUCUGAAAGCCAAAGGCUUCUUUGCUAAUUUAAUAAAGAGUGAACCAGUGGGUAAGUCCCUAGAAAA
Molecule: long non-coding RNA, 1770 nt
Filed under: Manacus vitellinus (golden-collared manakin)
Lineage: Eukaryota; Metazoa; Chordata; Aves; Passeriformes; Pipridae
Description: lncRNA (ENSMVIG00005005902.1)
Source: RNAcentral